GGGGAAAAUUAAUAAAUUAAAUUUAAUAAAAAAAAUUUUAAUAUUAAAAAGAAAAUGGGGGUUUGAGUAUUUUUAAUAGAAAAAAUUAAUAGUUUUAUAGUUAAAUAUUACUGUAAAGGAAUUUAUAAAUAAAUGAAAUAUAAUUAAUGAAAAAGUAAAUUUAAAUUAUUGUAUCUUGUGUAUCAGAGUUUAUUAAAUAAUAAUAAUUUAUUUAAAUAAAUCUCGAAUUUAAAAGAGUUAAUUAAUUAAAAAAGUUAAUGUUGUAUAAUUAUUUUAAAUAAUUAAUUAGAAAUGAAAUGUUAAUCGUUUUUAAAUAUAUCUAGUUUUUUCAGAAAAAAAUUUAAUUUUAAAUUUAAAUAAUUUUAUAAUUAUUUAAUUAAUUAUAAAAAUUUAAAUUUUAAUAUUUUAGGGGAUAAGCUUUAAAUUAAAAAUUUAUAAUUAAAAAUAUUUAAAAUUAAAAUUUUUAAAAUUUAUAUUGUUUAGAAAUUAUAGUUUAUUAUAAAAAAUUUUAUUAAAAAAUAAAAUUUAAAAUAAGAAAAUUUAAAUUUUUAUGAAAAAAUAAUUUAUAAUUUAAUAAAAUUAGAAAUAAUGAUAAAAUUAGUAUAAUAUAAUAAAUUAAAAAAAAAAUUAUAAAUAAUUAAAUUAAAGGAAUUCGGCAAAAAUUUAUAUUCACUUGUUUAUCAAAAACAUGUCUUUUUGAUAAUAAUUUAAAGUCUAAUCUGCCCACUGAUAUUAUAUUAAAGGGCUGCAGUAUAUUGACUGUACAAAGGUAGCAUAAUCAUUAGUCUUUUAAUUGAAGACUUGUAUGAAAGAUUUGAUGAAAUAUAAACUGUCUCUAAUUUAUGAUUAGAAAUUAAUUUUUUAGUUAAAAAGCUAAAAUAACAUUAAAAGACGAGAAGACCCUAUAGAGUUUUAUAUUUUAUUUAAUUAAUAUUAAAUAUAUAAUUAAAUAUAUUAAUUAAGUAAAAUAUUGUGUUGGGGUGAUAGAAAAAUUUAAUAAACUUUUUUUAAAUUUAGACAUAAAUAAGUGGUUAGUUGAUCCAUUAAUAAUGAUUAAAAGAAAAAAUUACCUUAGGGAUAACAGCGUAAUAUUUUUUUUUAGUACACAUAAAAAAAAAAGUUUGCGACCUCGAUGUUGGAUUAAGAUAAAAUUUAAAUGCAAAAGUUUAAAAUUUUGAUCUGUUCGAUCAUUAAAAUCUUACAUGAUCUGAGUUCAAACCGGUGUAAGCCAGGUUGGUUUCUAUCUUUAAUAAAAAAAAAUAUUUUAGUACGAAAGGAUCAAAUAUUUAAAAUAAUUUUAUAAUAAUGAAUAUUAAUAAUAUAGUUUA
RNAcentral lists this ribosomal RNA (1328 nucleotides) under Junonia evarete occidentalis. RNAcentral describes it as "16S ribosomal RNA". The record is from RNAcentral. Lineage: Eukaryota; Metazoa; Arthropoda; Insecta; Lepidoptera; Nymphalidae.